Molecule: ribosomal RNA, 468 nt
Filed under: uncultured bacterium
Lineage: Bacteria
Description: partial 16S ribosomal RNA
Rfam family: Bacterial small subunit ribosomal RNA
Source: RNAcentral
GACGAACGCUGGCGGCGUGCUUAACACAUGCAAGUCGAACGGAAAGGCCCUGCUUUUGUGGGGUGCUCGAGUGGCGAACGGGUGAGUAACACGUGAGUAACCUGCCCUUGACUUUGGGAUAACUUCAGGAAACUGGGGCUAAUACCGGAUAGGAGCUCCUGCUGCCUGGUGGGGGUUGGAAAGUUUCGGCGGUUGGGGAUGGACUCGCGGCUUAUCAGCUUGUUGGUGGGGUAGUGGCUUACCAAGGCUUUGACGGGUAGCCGGCCUGAAAGGGUGACCGGCCACAUUGGAACUGAGAUACGGCCCAGACUCCUACGGGAGGCAGCAGUGGGGAAUAUUGCACAAUGGGCGGAAGCCUGAUGCAGCAACGCCGCGUGCGGGAUGACGGCCUUCGGGUUGUGAACCGCUUUCGCCUGUGACGAAGCGUGAGUGACGGUAAUGGGUAAAGAAGCACCGGCUAACUACGUG